UUUUUAUUGAGAGUUUGAUCCUGGCUCAGGACGAACGCUGGCGGCGUGCUUAACACAUGCAAGUCGAGCGAUGAAGUUCCUUCGGGAACGGAUUAGCGGCGGACGGGUGAGUAACACGUGGGUAACCUGCCUCAUAGAGGGGAAUAGCCUUUCGAAAGGAAGAUUAAUACCGCAUAAGAUUGUAGUUUCGCAUGAAACAGCAAUUAAAGGAGUAAUCCGCUAUGAGAUGGACCCGCGUCGCAUUAGCUAGUUGGUGAGGUAACGGCUCACCAAGGCGACGAUGCGUAGCCGACCUGAGAGGGUGAUCGGCCACAUUGGGACUGAGACA
Molecule: ribosomal RNA, 328 nt
Rfam family: Bacterial small subunit ribosomal RNA